Molecule: RNase P RNA, 306 nt
Filed under: Polaribacter filamentus
Lineage: Bacteria; Pseudomonadati; Bacteroidota; Flavobacteriia; Flavobacteriales; Flavobacteriaceae
Description: RNase P RNA component class A
Rfam family: Bacterial RNase P class A
About the family: Ribonuclease P (RNase P) is a ubiquitous endoribonuclease, found in archaea, bacteria and eukarya as well as chloroplasts and mitochondria. Its best characterised activity is the generation of mature 5'-ends of tRNAs by cleaving the 5'-leader elements of precursor-tRNAs.
Source: RNAcentral
UAAGCAGACUUAUCUUAUCGCCACACUCAGGUGUGGAGGAAAGUCCGGACACCAAAGAGUAAUCAUAGCGGAUAACAUCCGUCCAGCGCAAGUUGAGGACAAGUGCAACAGAAAGCAAGUACAGUUCGGCUGUAGUGAAACCAGGUAAACUCUAUGAGGUGCAAUGCCAUGUAUAUUAGAGAUUGAGGGCUACUCGCCCGAUUCUAAAGGGUAGGCAGAUAGAUUCUAAGAGUAAUUUUAGAACUAGAUAAAUGAUAAGAACCUUGUUUAAAGGUACAGAAUUCGGCUUACAAGUCUGCUUUUUUU